This 425-nucleotide ribosomal RNA is filed under the name uncultured bacterium. Its description in RNAcentral is "partial 16S ribosomal RNA". It matches the Rfam family "Bacterial small subunit ribosomal RNA", at positions 354 to 796 of the family's 1533-position model. The record is from RNAcentral.
GUGGGGAAUAUUGGGCAAUGGGCGAAAGCCUGACCCAGCAACGCCGCGUGAAGGAAGAAGGUUUUCGGAUCGUAAACUUCUAUCCUUGGUGAAGAUAAUGACGGUAGCCAAGAAGGAAGCCCCGGCUAACUACGUGCCAGCAGCCGCGGUAAUACGUAGGGGGCAAGCGUUGUCCGGAAUGAUUGGGCGUAAAGGGCGCGUAGGCGGCCCGGUAAGUCUGAAGUGAAAGUCCUGCUUUUAAGGUGGGAAUUGCUUUGGAUACUGUCGGGCUUGAGUGCAGGAGAGGUAAGCGGAAUUCCAGGUGUAGCGGUGAAAUGCGUAGAGAUCGGGAGGAACACCAGUGGCGAAGGCGGCUUACUGGACUGUAACUGACGCUGAGGCGCGAAAGUGUGGGGAGCAAACAGGAUUAGAUACCCCGGUAGUCC